GCAUAUCAAUAAGCGGAGGAAAAGAAACUAACAAGGAUUCCCCUAGUAACUGCGAGUGAAGCGGGAAAAGCUCAAAUUUAAAAUCUGGCGGUCUUCGAUCGUCCGAGUUGUAGUCUGGAGAAGCGUCUUCCGCGCUGGACCGUGUACAAGUCUCUUGGAACAGAGCGUCGUAGAGGGUGAGAAUCCCGUCUUUGACACGGACUACCAGUGCUUUGUGAUGCGCUCUCAAAGAGUCGAGUUGUUUGGGAAUGCAGCUCAAAAUGGGUGGUAAAUUCCAUCUAAAGCUAAAUAUUGGCGAGAGACCGAUAGCGAACAAGUACCGUGAGGGAAAGAUGAAAAGCACUUUGGAAAGAGAGUUAAACAGUACGUGAAAUUGCUGAAAGGGAAACGAUUGAAGUCAGUCGCGUCGUCUAGAACUCAACCUUGCCUCGGCUCGGUGCAUUUUCUAGUUGACGGGCCAGCAUCAGUUUUGACCGUUGGAAAAAAGGUCCUUGGAAUGUGGCACCUUCGGGUGUGUUAUAGCCUUGGGUCGUAUACGACGGUUGGGACUGAGGACCGCAGCACGCCUUUAUGGCCGGGGUUCGCCCACGUACGUGCUUAGGAUGCUGGCGUAAUGGCUUUAAACGACCCGUCUUGAAACACGGACCAAGGAGUCUAACAUGCCUGCGAGUGUUUGGGUGGUAAACCCGAGCGCGUAACGAAAGUGAAAGUUGGGAUCCCUGUCGUGGGGAGCACCGACGCCCACACCAGACCUUCUGUGACGGAUGUGCGGUUGAGCAUGUAUGUUGGGACCCGAAAGAUGGUGAACUAUGCCUGAAUAGGGUGAAGCCAGAGGAAACUCUGGUGGAGGCUCGUAGCGAUUCUGACGUGCAAAUCGAUCGUCAAUUUGGUAUAGGGGCGAAAGACUAUCGAACAUCUAGUAGCUGGUCUGCGA
This 934-nucleotide ribosomal RNA is filed under the name Phlebia rufa. RNAcentral describes it as "eukaryotic LSU rRNA". It matches the Rfam family "Eukaryotic large subunit ribosomal RNA", at positions 38 to 961 of the family's 3401-position model. The record is from RNAcentral. Lineage: Eukaryota; Fungi; Basidiomycota; Agaricomycetes; Polyporales; Meruliaceae.